Molecule: ribosomal RNA, 1091 nt
Filed under: uncultured bacterium
Lineage: Bacteria
Description: bacterial SSU rRNA
Rfam family: Bacterial small subunit ribosomal RNA
Source: RNAcentral
GCGGCGCGUCAAAAGCAUGCAAGACGAACGGCAAGGCAGGCGCUUGCACCUGCCCUAGAGUGGCGGACUGGUGAGUAACACGUGGGUGACAUGCCUUUUAGUUGGGGAUAGCUACUAAAAAUAAUAAAUAAUACCGAAUGUGAUCAAUAUUUAUAGAUGAUGUUGAGGAAAGGAGCUAAUGCUUCGCUAAAAGAUUGGCCCGCGGCCCAUUAGCUAGUUGGUAGGGUAAAGGCUUACCAAGGCUUUGAUGGGUAUCCGGCCUGAGAGGGUGAUCGGACACAUUGGGACUGAGAUACGGCCCAGACUCCUACGGGAGGCAGCAGCUAAGAAUAUUCCACAAUGGACGAAAGUCUGAUGGAGCGACGCCGCGUGGAUGAUGAAGGCCGAAAGGUUGUAAAAUCCUUUUACACUGGAGGAAUAAGCAGAGUAGGGAAUGACUCUGUGAUGACUGUACAGUUUGAAUAAGCAACGGCUAACUACGUGCCAGCAGCCGCGGUAAUACGUAGGUGGCGAGCGUUGUCCGGAUUUAUUGGGCGUAAAGGGUACGUAGGCGGGCCUGCAAGUCUGAUUUGAAAGCACACGGCUUAACCGUGUGAGGUAAUUAGAAACUACAGGUCUAGAGAGUGGUAGAGGUAAAUGGAAUUCCAAGUGGAGCGGUGAAAUGCGUAGAGAUUUGGAGGAACACCAGUGGCGAAGGCGGUUUACUGGGCCACAUCUGACGCUGAUGUACGAAAGCGUGGGGAGCAAACAGGAUUAGAUACCCUGGUAGUCCACGCCGUAAACGAUGAGUGCUAAGUAUCGGAGGAUUCGGUGCUUAAGCUAACGCAGUAAGCACUCCGCCUGGGGAGUACGGUCGCAAGACUGAAACUCAAAGGAAUUGACGGGGGCCCGCACAAGCGGUGGAGCAUGUGGUUUAAUUCGAGGCAACGCGAAGAACCUUACCAAGGCUUGACAUACACCUGGAGCGCGCGGAAACGUGUGUGACUUUGAUACAGGUUGUACAGGUGGUGCAUGGUUGUCGUCAGCUCGUGUCGUGAGAUGUUGGGUUAAGUCCCGUAACGAGCGCAACCCUUGUCUUAUGUUGCCAGCAA